CCGAGUUUUUACAACUCCCAACCCUAUGUGAACCUUACCAAUCGUUGCUUCGGCGGAACGCCCCGCGGCCCCUCGGGGUCCGGAUCCAGGCGCCCGCCGAGGAACCCAAACUCUUCUGUUUUUUAGUUGUAUCUUCUGAGUGGAUUUAAACAAAUGAAUCA
This 161-nucleotide unclassified non-coding RNA is filed under the name uncultured Paecilomyces. RNAcentral describes it as "sequence contains ITS1". The record is from RNAcentral. Lineage: Eukaryota; Fungi; Ascomycota; Eurotiomycetes; Eurotiales; Thermoascaceae.